RNAcentral lists this ribosomal RNA (131 nucleotides) under uncultured soil bacterium. RNAcentral's name for it is "partial 16S ribosomal RNA". It matches the Rfam family "Bacterial small subunit ribosomal RNA", at positions 26 to 156 of the family's 1533-position model. The record is from RNAcentral.
AGAUUGAACGCUGGCGGCAGGCCUAACACAUGCAAGUCGAGCGGUAGAGAGGUGCUUGCACCUCUUGAGAGCGGCGGACGGGUGAGUAAUGCCUAGGAAUCUGCCUAGUGGUGGGGGAUAACGUUCGGAAA